This 900-nucleotide long non-coding RNA is filed under the name Numida meleagris (helmeted guineafowl). RNAcentral's name for it is "lncRNA (ENSNMEG00000000697.1)". Lineage: Eukaryota; Metazoa; Chordata; Aves; Galliformes; Numididae. The record is from RNAcentral.
CACCUGUGUGUGCACCAGCACAGCCAAAAACAACACACCACCUGCAAUUUUAAUUUAUUGAAAUCCUUCUCAUUCACAGCCAAAGUUGAAAUUGCUCAAAAUCCCCCGUUUUCCCCCCAAUUUUGGCUUCCUUCGGAGCCCCCCCCAUCCCUCAAACCCCUUCAGCUUCGCCCCUCUGCUCUUCCCCGCUCGGAUUUUGGGGGCAAAACCCCAAAAUCCCGCACUUUGUGCAGGAUCUGGGCCCAGGGCUCUGGGGGUACCCCCCCCCCUGCAUUAAUGAGCCCUCGUUAAGACAGUGUUAAUUAAUUAACCCCGUUGUUUCACAGCGCCCGGCCUGCUGCUCUGGGUGGUGCCUCCUCACCUCCCGGCCCCAAAUUUUCCGUUUUUCAGCCCAAAAUGCAGCAGGAAGGGAACGCCGGCUCUGGGAGGGAAGAUCCCCCCCCCCCACACUUUGGGGUCACCCCCAAUAAGACCCCCACUUUGGGGUCCACCUGGAAGCCCCCCACUUUGGGGUCAACCCCAAGAGGAUCCCCCAAUUUGGGGUCAACCUGGAAGACCCCCAAUGUGGAGUUGACCCCAUAAGAAGCCCCACUUUGGGGUCAGCCCCAAAGACGUCCCACUUUGGGGUCCACCUGGAACACCCCCCCGUUUUGGGUUGACCCCAGAAGAUGCCCUGAUGUGGGGGUCAGCCCCAGAGGAUCCCUCACUUUGGGGUCCACCUGAAGACUCCCAAGAUGGAGUCGACCCCAUAAAAUGCCCCAGUUUGGGAUCAGCCCCAGAGGAUCCCCCAGUUUGGGGUAGACCCCAAAGAUCCCCUAAUUGGAAUCAACCUGGAAGACCCCAAAGAUGGAGUCAACCCCAAGAAGAUCCCCCAGUUUUGGGUUGACCCCAAAGAUCCCC